RNAcentral lists this long non-coding RNA (563 nucleotides) under Sinocyclocheilus grahami. Its description in RNAcentral is "lncRNA (ENSSGRG00000027829.1)". Lineage: Eukaryota; Metazoa; Chordata; Actinopteri; Cypriniformes; Cyprinidae. The record is from RNAcentral.
GGAUGCUGCGUGACAAACGUGACUUUGUUUACAACGCGUGCAGACCGUUUAAAAUACAGAUCCUGGAGAUGACAGCUCAGUGACUGUUUUAUAAAUCUAACUGAACGGCACAUAUUCCGACCCAUUAACAAACAGAAUAGACACAUGCUGCGAUAAAUGCAGGAAACGAGUGACCUGCGACUCACUGUAACCUUAAUUUUUCUGCAGCACAUUAACCAGAGGCUGAAACACAGAAACAGCUUGAAGGCCACAAGCUCGACUUCAACAGCAUACGGGAUGUGUUUGGACAGAAGCAGAGCUCUGGGACGUGUGGACAGACUUUGACUGUAAUGAUAGACGUCUGCUCAAGGACAGAAGCAUAACCGCUGCUGGACAUCGCUCUGGGUCUCAGGGGGGGACCCGAAUCAUCCUCACCCCUUCAUUCACACAACACUCACUCAUAUCACAGAGAUCUGGCUGGGAUUGAACCAGCGACCUCCGAACCGUGAGGCAGCGCUCUUACCUGUGAGCCACAGAUCUCUUGCUUGAGGUUGUGCUGGAACGUAUAUUUCACUAUUCACCUG